This 296-nucleotide ribosomal RNA is filed under the name uncultured Methanosarcina sp. Its description in RNAcentral is "partial 16S ribosomal RNA". It matches the Rfam family "Archaeal small subunit ribosomal RNA", at positions 431 to 726 of the family's 1478-position model. Lineage: Archaea; Methanobacteriati; Methanobacteriota; Methanomicrobia; Methanosarcinales; Methanosarcinaceae. The record is from RNAcentral.
GUUAGCAAGGGCCGGGCAAGACCGGUGCCAGCCGCCGCGGUAACACCGGCGGCCCGAGUGGUGAUCGUGAUUAUUGGGUCUAAAGGGUCCGUAGCCGGUUUGGUCAGUCCUCCGGGAAAUCUGAUAGCUYAACUAUUAGGCUUUCGGGGGAUACUGCCAGRCUUGGAACCGGGAGAGGUAAGAGGUACUACAGGGGUAGGAGUGAAAUCUUGUAAUCCCUGUGGGACCACCUGUGGCGAAGGCGUCUUACCAGAACGGGUUCGACGGUGAGGGACGAAAGCUGGGGGCACGAACCG